AAGGUUCCUGGAUUGGACUUCAUACGGGCCGGGAAACAAAGGGGAUCUACAAGUGGGUGGAUGGUACCAACUUGACUUCAAGUUCCUGGCAUGUACCAAUCAUUCCGUAUGGCUAUGAUGGCUGUGCAGUAACAGCUGACAAAUUGGUGAUGGGUCCAUGUGCCUCUCAAAACAUCUGGAUCUGUGAGAAGGUCAACGUCCUGGAACAUCUGGAAGCUGAACUGAACAAAGAGGGGAUGCCCAAGGAGAAGGAGGAGGAGGUAGAGGAGGAGGAG
Molecule: long non-coding RNA, 275 nt
Organism: Gadus morhua (Atlantic cod)
Lineage: Eukaryota; Metazoa; Chordata; Actinopteri; Gadiformes; Gadidae
Exons: 3
Source: RefSeq, a predicted model, not a curated record